UACGUAGGGGGCAAGCGUUGUCCGGAUUUAUUGGGCGUAAAGAGCGUGUAGGCGGCUAGAUAGGUCCGUUGUGAAAACUCGAGGCUCAACCUCGAGACGCCGGUGGAAACCAUCUAGCUAGAGUCCGGAAGAGGAGAGUGAAUUCCUGGUGUAGCGGUGAAAUGCGCAGAUAUCAGGAAGAACACCCGUGGCGAAGGCGGCUCUCUGGUACGUGACUGACGCUGAGACGCGAAAGCGUGGGGAGCGAACAGG
RNAcentral lists this ribosomal RNA (252 nucleotides) under uncultured bacterium. RNAcentral describes it as "partial 16S ribosomal RNA". It matches the Rfam family "Bacterial small subunit ribosomal RNA", at positions 524 to 776 of the family's 1533-position model. The record is from RNAcentral.